CAACGCCGCCUCCACGGCCUGCAACGCCUGUAGCAGAUUUAUCUUCCCGAGGUUGUCGCCCUCGCCCCUCCGCCGGCUGUGGAACAGCCUCAUCGCGGCGUCCUGCACCCGAGGCCCCCCGUUAGGGUCCGCCUCCACCCCCAGGAUCCACGGCACCGUCCGCUUCAGGUCCUUGCAGGAGCUCGUCACCUGGAGCAGCGCCGUCGAGCGGAGGCAGAGCGCCUCCGAGCCGGAGGUGGCCUUGAUGCCCAGCUGGCUCUUCAGCCGGAGGAAGUCGUCCGGGUCCAUCAGAAGGUGGAGGUCCUCCACCUCCGACAGCAGCUUCCACACGCGUUCGAGCAGCCAGCAAUCGCUCCCGGCCUGCACCCAGUCUUUGGCGUCCAUCCUCUGCUCGAUCCGAGCCAAGAGCUCGCGGGCGGCGAAGAGCCACGACUCGAGGAUCUGUUGGAUCGUGCAGAGCGCCUGGUCUUCGUGGUCCUUGGCGUCCUUCGAUCCGCCGGGGCUCCUCUUCAGGGCGUGGAGGUCGGACGGGCGGACGACGAGAUCGUACUCGAUCGUGGGCUUCCCUGCGAGGUUGGGCUCGCCCAACCCCAGAGUGAACCGGCACCGCUGCAUCUGGCUCUCGAUCUGGAACAGGAUCUUGGAGGCCACGUCCUCCGACUUCUCCCACGUCGCCAGCCGCGGCAGCAGGCUCUUCUCGCUCGUGCGGCUCACCACGCUGGUCGUGCCGGGAACCUUCCACACCUCCUGCGAGCUCUUGUCCCGUGACAGAAGGCCCUUGCACGAGCUGAGGUCGGCGAUGGGGGCGCCGCCAUCCUCCUCGCACAAGGUAGCGAUGAGCUCGACCUGGCGUGCGGCGAGGGACUCCAGCCUCCGCUUCCAUUCCCGGUGGUUCGCGUAGGGCCGGGGGUCGGACAGGGCGAGCGAGAUGAACCGGAAGGUGAUCUCCAGGCCCUGCAGGGCCGGCUUGAGUAUGGACUCGUCGGCCCACUGGGGGAAGUCCUUGGAGCUCCAAAGCUUGGCCAGCUCGGGGAGGCGGAGGUAGUGCUCAUAAGCGACGAUGGCGGAGGCGUCAUGUCCCCGAGGAGCAGCAGCCGACUUCGAGGGGAACGGCUUUGGAUUGGAAG
Molecule: long non-coding RNA, 1127 nt
Filed under: Musa acuminata (dwarf banana)
Lineage: Eukaryota; Viridiplantae; Streptophyta; Magnoliopsida; Zingiberales; Musaceae
Description: long non-coding RNA (MACU_LNC006808)
Source: RNAcentral